CCCGCUGAACUUAAGCAUAUCACUAAGGGGAGGAAAAGAUACUAACCAGGAUUCCCCUAGUAACGGCGAGUGAAGAGGGAUUAGAUCAGCACCGAAGCCCGGUAAGUUAACUGCUAGGAAAAGUGGUGUUUGGGUCAACUCGCGGGAUUUCCACUCCACUCGAAGACCAGCACUGGGUAUGGUUCCAUGGAUUUGGCCCAGAGAGGGUGAAAGGUCCGUGCGAGUGGAGUUAUGGACAUGUGAGGCAAUUCAACAGGUCAACCUUCGAGUCGGAUUGUUUGGGAAUGCAGCCCAAAGUGAUUGGUAAAAUCCAUCCUAGGCUAAAUAAAUGCACGAGUCCGAUAGUGAACAAGUACCGUGAGGGAAAGUUGAAAAGUUUUUUGAAGAGAGAGAGCGAGAGAGAGUAAACAGUACUUGAAACUGCAUAUCGGUAAAGUGGCGGCCUCAAGCUGUAAACCUAGAGGAUUCAGUUGGUUGGGGUGUAUGCGCGCCUGGCGCGUCUUUCGGACGGACAGUUCACUACGAAAAGGUGGGCCUGGCAUUCCCUCGGGAGGGAGAGGAUUGGCGUUCCGGGAAGAUGCCAGAGCCGACUGUUUUGGCUGUCUGCGCAUAAUGUGGAUGGAUCGGCCAAUGCACUUCCUCUAUCUGGUGAUCACCAUGACUGGUGGAACUGCCCGUCUGCCGUAGUCAAAUCGGGUUUGUUUGGUGGCUCCUCUGGGGUCGUUGGCUGAGCUUUGAUCCUCA
Molecule: non-coding RNA, 744 nt
Filed under: Schistocephalus solidus
Lineage: Eukaryota; Metazoa; Platyhelminthes; Cestoda; Diphyllobothriidea; Diphyllobothriidae
Description: Eukaryotic large subunit ribosomal RNA
Rfam family: Eukaryotic large subunit ribosomal RNA
Source: Rfam by way of RNAcentral